Long non-coding RNA from Phascolarctos cinereus (koala), 3577 nucleotides. RefSeq lists it as uncharacterized. NCBI's taxonomy places the organism in Eukaryota, Metazoa, Chordata, Mammalia, Diprotodontia, Phascolarctidae. The record is from RefSeq and is a predicted model, not a curated record.
AGCGGCUCUCAGACCACCCCUCACUGGACGUUCGAAACCCACAGGAAGAUGCAAAAACCUCACAGAAGCCCAUAAGCAAAGAAUAUAUAUCAAGCAUGCAAAUAACUCAUCUGCUGUCUCCAAAUGGCAGUUGACCUUGGGGGUUGCUAUUGGAGUGACUGACAUUCUGGUGAAGUGAGUGGAGUCUCAGACCUUGGAGGAAAAUGGGAGUCAGAUCCAACCUGGGUUUUGCAGCUAGUGCAGUACUGAUGCCCCAAGGAGCCAUUUUGGGAGUGACAUUCAAGUCCCUGGCCCAGUGGAGGGCAGCCACGUCAAAUCUAGGCUCGAACUUGGUGAGACAAAUGUCAUGUAAGAACUUAGCUAAGUUUUAAGACUAUUUUCCUGGAGACUUAGAUGGUGUAGGGGAGAGUAUGCCCUGGAGGAAAUGGCUGUAUAUUUAUUCUUGACAUAUCUUUGAAGUUAACAUAUUUUUAUAAAAGCCAGCCAGUGUUAAAUGGUUAAAUGGAAAUGCGAGCUAGUCACUGGCCCCUAGCAAUGAGGAAUGCAGAUGGUGGUGGCUUGAGCCCAUGGCGGUGGAGAAGAAAGAACCCCACAAACCCCUCCGGGUCCCCUAGAGCCUUGAGGGGGCCAUGUACUCAACCUGGUCUUGAGAGAGUGGGGCCAGAAUGUACGUGUGACCCAUGAUUAUAUGUCUAUUAUAAUGUAAACAACAGACCACUCUUGGUUGGGGGAAACACGCCUCCUUCUUUUCAAGAGAAAUGGGAAGGGCUGUGCUACAGGGUGGAGAGUGUUUCAUCCACUGUCAAACACUGGCAUUGAAUAGAUUGGCUGUGCUUAAUUGUUUUUCUUUGUUAUUAGAGAGGCCUCAUUUCUCUCUCCCUCUCUCUCCCUCCCUUCCCUCACCAGCUCCCAUAGAUUCAGUUAUCAUCUUUACAUCUAUAUGUUUAGUCCUAGGCUCUCUCCUGAUUUACAAUCCUGCAUCACCAGCUAUCCAUUAGACAGUUCAAGGUGGGUAUCCCAUAGGUGUGUCAAACUUCACAUUUCCAAAAUCAUUUAUUUUUCUCCCCCACCAAAGCCACCCCUCUUCUAAACGUGCUCGUUGUCAAUGCCACAACCAUUCUUCCUCAGUCAUGCCGACUCCUCACUCUCAGUCACUCCGUGUGUCCAGUCACCCCCUACUGUACCUCACUGCCUGUUCUUGUCUCCUAGUCCCACAGCCCUCAGACCAGGACUUUGGGUAUUUAGAGGAGGGGGGACCCUCCCAUCAAUGGGAAGGGAAUAAGAAUGCUAGCUGACUUUCAGAUAGCACUUCAAAAUUUUGCAGAGCAUUUUAUGCCCAUUAUUUCAUCCUACACCCAGCCAAGUCAACAAGCAUUUAUUAAGUGCUAAGCACUGAGAAACUAAGCAUAACCAGAAAGAAAUACAGUCUCUGUCCUCAAAGAGUGUCCUUGUCAGAGAAUACCUCCUAUAAAAGGAAGCUAAAGGGGGGCAGAGCAUGGAGGUAGCCAGCUAGAAGCAUUCUAGAAAAAGUCUGGGAGGGCCAGGAGGGCAGCCUGGAGAGGAAGGAAGGUACGGCUGCCCUGGGUGCUCUCCUUCAAAUGGAGGUUCUGGGAGGAAGGAGCCAAUCAGAGGGAGGGACCGAGGAGGUUUGGACUACUUCCAGUGUGGGAAGUCCAGGGGUGAAGCAAGCUUCCAGAGUACUUUCCAUGGAAUGGUAAAGUCCAAAAGAGUCAAGAGUGCAUCAGGAGUGCAUCCUGGAGAGAGAUGAUCCUUUGAGAUUGGUACGACUGCUACCCAUAGGUACUAUUAUUCUCAUUGUUCAUAUGGGGAAACCAAGGCUUAGAGCAGUUCAGUGACUUAUCCUGGGUCACACAGCUGAUGAAUGCCAGGGGUGAGGUGUGAGCCUAUGCUGGGGUUCUAGCGGCUCUACCAUCCCUCUUAUAUAAGUUGAGAAAGGAGCCUUAGGGAUCACUUAAAUCAACCCCUUCAUUUCACAAAAGGAGGAAACUGAAUUCUUAAGAUGAGAAAUGAUUCUUGCUGAGGAGUCCCAGGGGGCAGUCCUUUCCUUGUGCUAAGUGCCCUCUGGAACUGUCCCAAAGAAGGUUCCGCUUCUCAAGAGGUCCUUGAGUGAGCACAAGAUGGACACUUGUGGAGAUGUUAUGGAGGCAUUCCUUUGUAGGGAUGGGAGGGACAAGACGGGCCCUUUCCAAAUUGGAGAUUACUUGAUGCUUAUGGGGACUCCAUGAGCCUCUAUUUCUUCCCCUGUAAAAUGGAAGUAAUAAUUCCUGAACCUGUGGUGACCUACCUCAGAGGGUUACUUUGACCUUCAAAUGAGAUUGUGCAUAUAAAACGCUCUUCUGCUUCCUUUGCAGUCAGAUCAGCUGCCAAAGCAAUAUUCCUAAAGCUUGUUUCUGACCAUGUUACCUCCCUCCCCCUAUAAACUCCAGUAGCUCCCUAUUACCUCCAAGAUCAAAUACAAAAUCCUGUUUGGCAUUCAAAGCCCUUCCAAACCUGCUCACCCCACCUCAACCCAUUUCCAGUCAUCUCAACCUUACUCCCUCCACAUGCUCUGCCGUCCAUCUACACCAGCCUCCUGACUGUUCCCGGAACAAAACGUUCUAUCUCCCAAACUAAGCAUUUUUCCCAGAUGUCCCCCAUGCCCUGGAUGCCUCCCCGCCUCAUCUCUACCUUGCAGCUUCCUCAGCUUCCUUCAGGUACCAGCUAAAAUCCCACCUUUCACAAUCCCUUUUAAUUCCAGGGCCUUCCUUUUAUUAUUUCCUUGUCCACAUGUUGUCUUCCCCACCAGACUGGGGACAGGUCUUGACCUUUCUCUAUGUCCCCAGCACACAGUGCAGUGCCAGACGUGUAGUAGGCGCUUUUCAUAACUGUUUCUUGACUGGCUAACUUAAACCUCUCUUGCUGUCAUUUCAAUUCAUCCUUCUAGUCCUGGGCUCCAGCGUUCUUCAGGGCCCAUCACAGGCUGUUAGUUCCUUGAUGGAAAAUAGCAGAUGGAGAUGCUGUUAAAAAUAGAAAUCAGGCCCAGAAGAGGGGAGAGGAACCUGGCUGCUAAUCACAUGGAAGGGGCCUGGGAUUGUGCCUUGGAAAUCACAAGAGUUUACUGCGCAGGGGAUUAAGGCUUCAGCAUCUGGGGAGUGUCUGUUGGGGCAGCUCUGUGGCGACGAUUGUGGUGAUGACGGGAGUGACUGUGCUAUCGAUACCCAAGCAGGCCCCAUCUUCCAGGGCCAGCCCAGGCCAGACCUCCGUCUGCUCCAUGAGCUCACACUCCCCUGCCCUCGCUCCCAGCUCCCAACAUACACACACACACACACACACACACACACACCCAACUCUGUUUAAUUCCCCAAUACACAGGACUCUAUUUAACUUCCUCCUUUCUGCCGAUCAGUCCAGUUGCCCCAGCUCCCUCCAUCCUUGACCCAGAUUCAGCCAGCCCACCCAAGGCUCUCAGUUCCUAAGACCAUCAGAGUAGAAAGGGUGCUUGGAGCAUAGAGUGUCAGAGCUGAGAAAGUCCUCAGAACAUGGGAUGUCAGAGAUCGUAAGAGCCUUAGAUCAUAGA